CAGCCCUGAGGCCUGGCUUUGAUCACGAGAAGCAGCAGCAGCAUCAGACAACACUGGCAGGGCCUGAAUGCCAGCCCCCUUCACUGGGGUCGCCAGGUGCACAGCCUGUGAGACGGAGUCUUAUUUCUAUCACUGGCUUCUAUCUACCAUGUGGUCCCUUCCUCACCAGGUCCCCAAGAAAGCACUGAGGGAGUCCUUGAAAGUAUGCAGCCCUGAGGGCUCAGAAGAAGACAGAAGAACCCAUCUGCAGCCACCGGGGGUCCACAGUCUAGCAGAGGAGACGUACAAGUCCCAGAGAGAGGAGAGCCGAUCACUGAACAGGCUUAGAGGCCACAGCAAGGGAGACAGAAGGGAGGGUGUCUAAAAGGCAGAGUUCGUGGGGAUGGAGGCUAAUGGAGCAAGAUACGUGACCCCAAGCAAAGCGUGUGACCCCGAGUCCCAGCCCCUCGAAUGACUUCAUCCUAGGGACGGGGGAUUUUGAAAGAUUUAUUUUGGUUGAAGUCAUUUGGAGCAGACGUCUGCCUUUAAAUGGAAAAAAAAUGGCUUGGAAAUUCUGCUUAGACUGGCUUGGGAGAGGAGGAAAAUCCAGCACUGUCUCACCUUCUGGAUUUAAUUACAUCUUCCUGCCAGUCUGAACACUUAAAAAGCCAGCUUCCUGGGCAGGGAGCCUACGUUCAGACAGGGCUCCAUGCUCACAAGGCCCCACCCUUGCUCCGACGCUUUGAUGCCACCAUCUUAGGAUUCUUACUCCUCACUGGACAAAAAGGGCCUCUCCUUGUCAUUCUGUGCCGGGCCCUCGAACUCAUCUACCUGGUCCUGUCAUGGCUGGGGACAGAGAUGUGGAAAGAAGGCCUUCCAAACAGUCACCCUGAGUUCUGCGAAGCUUCCGCAGUGAAUGCAGGACCAGCCUGGCCCUGGGUUGGGAGUAAAUUUCCCCUCUGAGGUAACUGAGGAAGUCUGGCCAGAAUGGCUGGCCGCUCCGCUGCUCUGGCCCCCGCUUUUCAGUCAGCCCUGUCUUUGGAGAAACAGGAGGGUGGUGAGUUGAGUGCACGGGUCUGAUCUGACCUGCCUGGGUUCAAACCCCGGCUGCAUGUACAGGUGGAGACUGGGCUUCAGCAUCCUCCCUGGGGGGGUUGGGGGGCUCGCACCAGCACACCCACCUCACAGCUGCGAGGGGGCCAGGAGACCACAUCCUGAAAACAGCGUCUGGCUCACCCGACGUGUCCUUCAUCACUCGCUAUUGUAUCACCACUGCUGUCAGAGUGGAUCAGAAGAGGAUAAGCCCAAGGGGGUGGGGGGACACGAGGAGCCUAGUAGCUUCUCCACUGAAGUCUGGGUGAUGGAGUAGCAGGAAAAAGAGGGUGGGGUAAGACGUAUUCUGAAAAUAAAGUAUUAGAGCCAUCUGGUCUCCUUUUAUCAUGUCA
Erinaceus europaeus (western European hedgehog) is the source of this 1424-nucleotide long non-coding RNA. RefSeq lists it as uncharacterized. The transcript has 2 exons. NCBI's taxonomy places the organism in Eukaryota, Metazoa, Chordata, Mammalia, Eulipotyphla, Erinaceidae. The record is from RefSeq and is a predicted model, not a curated record.